Molecule: transfer RNA, 72 nt
Filed under: Bos taurus (domestic cattle)
Lineage: Eukaryota; Metazoa; Chordata; Mammalia; Artiodactyla; Bovidae
Also listed under: 1 other name
Rfam family: tRNA
About the family: Transfer RNA (tRNA) molecules are approximately 80 nucleotides in length. Their secondary structure includes four short double-helical elements and three loops (D, anti-codon, and T loops).
Source: Rfam by way of RNAcentral
UCCUUGGUGGCUCAGAUGGUAAAGCAUCUGCCUACAAUGUGGGAGACCCAGGUUCAAUCCCUGGGUUGGGAA